RNAcentral lists this small RNA (1927 nucleotides) under Pan troglodytes (chimpanzee). RNAcentral's name for it is "retained intron". The record is from RNAcentral. Lineage: Eukaryota; Metazoa; Chordata; Mammalia; Primates; Hominidae.
AGUAUUUUACCUCUUCUCUCUGUCUCCCUCUCAAGGUUUCCUGCUGAUCUUGGCACUGACCGAAGCGCUGGCAUUUGCCAUCCAGGAACCAUCUCCCAGGGAAUCUCUUCAGGUCCUCCCUUCAGGCACUCCCCCGGGAACCAUGGUGACAGCACCCCACAGCUCUACCAGACAUACUUCUGUGGUGAUGCUGACCCCCAAUCCCGAUGGACCCCCCUCACAGGCUGCAGCUCCCAUGGCAACACCGACACCCCGUGCAGAGGGGCACCCUCCUACGCACACCAUCUCCACCAUCGCUGCGACAGUAACCGCCCCCCAUUCUGAAAGCUCCCUGUCCACAGGGCCCGCUCCAGCAGCCAUGGCAACCACAUCCUCCAAGCCAGAGGGCCGCCCUCGAGGGCAGGCUGCCCCCACCAUCCUGCUGACAAAGCCACCGGGGGCCACCAGCCGCCCCACCACAGCGCCCCCCCGCACUACCACACGCAGGCCCCCCAGGCCCCCAGGCUCUUCCCGAAAAGGGGCUGGUAAUUCAUCACGCCCUGUCCCGCCUGCACCUGGUGGCCACUCCAGGAGUAAAGAAGGACAGCGAGGACGAAAUCCAAGCUCCACACCUCUGGGGCAGAAGCGGCCCCUGGGGAAAAUCUUUCAGAUCUACAAGGGCAACUUCACAGGGUCUGUGGAACCAGAGCCCUCUACCCUCACCCCCAGGACCCCACUCUGGGGCUACUCCUCUUCACCACAGCCCCAGACAGUGGCUGCGACCACAGUGCCCAGCAAUACCUCAUGGGCACCCCCCACCACCUCCCUGGGGCCUGCAAAGGACAAGCCAGGCCUUCGCAGAGCAGCCCAGGGGGGUGGUUCUACCUUCACCAGCCAAGGAGGGACACCAGAUGCCACAGCAGCCUCAGGUGCCCCUGUCAGUCCACAAGCUGCCCCAGUGCCUUCUCAGCGCCCCCACCGCGGUGACCCACAGGAUGGCCCCAGCCAUAGUGACUCUUGGCUUACUGUCACCCCUGGCACCAACAGACCUCUGUCUACCAGCUCUGGGGUCUUCACGGCUGCCACGGGGCCCACCCCAGCUGCCUUCGAUACCAGUGUCUCAGCCCCUUCCCAGGGGAUUCCUCAGGGAGCAUCCACAACCCCACAAGCUCCAACCCAUCCCUCCAGGGUCUCAGAAAGCACUAUUUCUGGAGCCAAGGAGGAGACUGUGGCCACCCUCACCAUGACCGACCGGGUGCCCAGUCCUCUCUCCACAGUGGUAUCCACAGCCACAGGCAAUUUCCUCAACCGCCUGGUCCCCGCCGGGACCUGGAAGCCUGGGACAGCAGGGAACAUCUCCCAUGUGGCCGAGGGGGACAAACCGCAGCACAGAGCCACCAUCUGCCUGAGCAAGAUGGAUAUCGCCUGGGUGAUCCUGGCCAUCAGCGUGCCCAUCUCCUCCUGCUCUGUCCUGCUGACGGUGUGCUGCAUGAAGAGGAAGAAGAAGACCGCCAACCCGGAGAACAACCUGAGCUACUGGAACAACACCAUCACCAUGGACUACUUCAACAGGCAUGCUGUGGAGCUGCCCAGGGAGAUCCAGUCCCUUGAAACCUCUGAGGACCAGCUCUCAGAGCCCCGCUCCCCAGCCAAUGGCGACUAUAGAGACACUGGGAUGGUCCUUGUUAACCCCUUCUGUCAAGAAACACUGUUUGUGGGAAACGAUCAAGUAUCUGAGAUCUAACUACAGCAGGCAUCACUUUGCCAUUCCGUAUUUUUCGUCUCUAAAUUAUAAAUAUACAAAUAUAUAUAUUAUAAAUAUAACCUUUGUGUAACCCUGACUUAAUGAGAAACAUUUUCAGCUUUUUUUCCUAUGAAUUGUCAACAUCUUUUUUACAAGUGUGGUUUAAAAAAAAAAAACUUUACAGAAUGAUCUGUGGCUUUAUAA